CUUCAUUCUGAGGAACUGGUUUCCAAAGUAGAAAAAAAAUUUUUUCCUUCAAUAUUUCAUUCUAAUUCCACAUGAAGGAACAUUAGUUAUUUGGUAAGUUUUAAAUGUUAAGAUCUGAUUUAUAUGGAGCCAAAAGAAAUAUGUCCCUUAAAACAUCAGGAACAAAAUAUUCCAAAGACAUGGUAAAUAUAUAGUUUCUUAAUUGCAGAGCCAAAAUAGAUUACACACAGGCUUGCAAAAUCUAAGACAUCUGCUUUGUUUGAGGCAAGAAAAAAGACAUCUGGGGGCUUGAAUCUUUCUUUGUGACUCUCUCUGGGGUAAGUGCUCUAGUAACCUUUUCUUUAACUAGGCAUUUAGGCAGACCCCUGGAAGAUCCUCACUUGGGCUGGACCUCUGAGGUUGAUGAGGAAGGGAAAAAGUGAAAUGGUGUAUGCAAAAGAAAAAAAAUCACUGGAUACAGGAAAUCAAGUCCUUGGGAGCUUCUGUGUUUGAACACACAGUACACACGGUUGCACUGUUUGGAUACCAUAUAUAGUGUCACGGUGAGAGAAAAAUCUGUCUUCUUAACAGCCUGUGUAUUUAUUAUGUGU
RNAcentral lists this long non-coding RNA (590 nucleotides) under Sarcophilus harrisii (Tasmanian devil). RNAcentral's name for it is "lncRNA (ENSSHAG00000021667.1)". Lineage: Eukaryota; Metazoa; Chordata; Mammalia; Dasyuromorphia; Dasyuridae. The record is from RNAcentral.